GGCGGCCCGAGGUGACGGGACCCGCGGGCCCGGCGAGGGGACAGCGGCGCGGGCUGGAGUCGGCCGAGAUCCGACUGCCAGACACGGAGCGUUUGCGCCGGCACAGGAUUGCUUUUCAUUGGCGGGGAAGCAAGCGGGACUGAUCAGCGGUUGGCUCUGGGCUCUGGGUCUUAUUAUUUAUGCAGAGGUGACCAAAAGCCCUGGGCAUAGAGGGAAAAGCUAGAGGGUGACAACUGAGGAUGAGUUAUUAAGCGUUUUAUUCCAUGGCGGAGGAGUCUCCUGUUUCGCUCGCGUUCGCAGGACUGCGGGAAACGCGGAGCCGAAACGCGGGGCUACAACGCGGUGGACGGGGCGAGAAGGAGGUCGGUGCGGCGGCCCGGCGCCGCCAGGGCCCUCCCGGAGGCUGGGGGUCGAGGAGGAGAGCGGGGCUGCAGAAGCAAGGAGGGCAGGGGGAAGGCUGGAGGAUGACGGCUGGGGGAGCAUGGAGAAAAGUCAGUGAGCAGGAGAUCUUAAAUCUCAUCAUCUGCAUCUCACCAUGUGGCCUAACACCCGGUGGGAUGAAGAAGUUUGUCCUCCCCUCCUUUCCUGGCACUGAAUCUCAGCGCUUCCUUCUCCUCCCCAAGGUCACAGUGCUUUUAGUUCCCCUGGUCCUUGUCUGAUCCACAGAUACUCUUGAAGAAAACAUUCUCACAAAGGAAUGACUUUCCUACUGGAAGAUUUCUACAACCUGGCAUUUGAACCGGGAGGGUCCUCUGAGGCUGAUUCUUCCCAAGGACAGUGAAAUCAGGUGGCCCAGUGUUCCGUUGGUUCGAAUCCUGAGCGCGGACAUGGCACUGCUCGUCAAACCACGCUGAGGCAGCGUCCCACAUGCCACAACUAGAAGGACCCACAACUAAGAAUAUACAACUAUGUACCGGGAGGCUUUGGGGAGAAAAAGGAAAAAAAUAAAAUCUUAAAAAAAAAAAA
This 966-nucleotide long non-coding RNA is filed under the name Equus caballus (horse). RNAcentral describes it as "lncRNA (ENSECAG00000057035.1)". The record is from RNAcentral. Lineage: Eukaryota; Metazoa; Chordata; Mammalia; Perissodactyla; Equidae.